GGUAGUCCACGCCGUAAACUAUGGAUGCUAGCUGUAAGAGGUAUCGACCCCUCUUGUAGCGAAGCUAACGCGUUAAGCAUCCCGCCUGUGGAGUACGGUCGCAAGACUAAAACAUAAAGGAAUUGACGGGGACCCGCACAAGCGGUGGAGCGUGUUGUUUAAUUCGAUGGUAAGCGGAGAACCUUACCCAGGUUUGACAUCCCGAGAAGGUUUCCGAAAGGAAAUUGUGCCGUAAGGAAUUCGGUGACAGGUGUUGCAUGGCCGUCGUCAGCUCGUGUCGUGAGAUGUUAGGUUAAGUCCUUCAACGAGCGCAACCCUUAUAGUUAGUUGUAUUUUUCUAGCUAGACUGCCCUGGUAACAGGGAGGAAGGGGGGGAUGAUGUCAGGUCAGUAUUACCCUUACACCUGGGGCUACAAACACGCUACAAUGGCCGGUACAAAGGGCAGCCAAGUCGCAAGACGGAGCAAAUCCCAUCAAAGCCGGUCUCAGUUCGGAUAGCAGGCUGAAACUCGCCUGCUUGAAGCUGGAAUCGCUAGUAACGGUAGGUCAGCACACUACCGUGAAUACGUUCCCGGGUCUUGUACACACCGCCCGUCAAGCCAUGAAAGUCGCCAAUACCUGACGUGCCAGCUCUGCCUGGCCCUAAGGUAGGGGAGAU
This 658-nucleotide ribosomal RNA is filed under the name uncultured soil bacterium. RNAcentral describes it as "bacterial SSU rRNA". It matches the Rfam family "Bacterial small subunit ribosomal RNA", at positions 789 to 1472 of the family's 1533-position model. The record is from RNAcentral.